UCACAACCCUUGCCACAUCAUGUCUGCC
RNAcentral lists this non-coding RNA (28 nucleotides) under Mus musculus (house mouse). Lineage: Eukaryota; Metazoa; Chordata; Mammalia; Rodentia; Muridae. The record is from RNAcentral.